GUGGGGAAUAUUGCACAAUGGGGGAAACCCUGAUGCAGCGACGCCGCGUGAGUGAAGAAGUAUUUCGGUACGUAAAGCUCUAUCAGCAAGGAAGAAAAUGACGGUACUUGACUAAGAAGCCCCGGCUAACUACGUGCCAGCAGCCGCGGUAAUACGUAGGGGGCAAGCGUUAUCCGGAUUUACUGGGUGUAAAGGGAGCGUAGACGGUAUGGUAAGUCAGAUGUGAAAGCCCGGGGCUCAACCCCGGGACUGCAUUUGAAACUAGCAGACUAGAGUGCAGGAGAGGUAAGUGGAAUUCCUAGUGUAGCGGUGAAAUGCGUAGAUAUUAGGAGGAACACCAGUGGCGAAGGCGGCUUACUGGACUGUAACUGACGUUGAGGCUCGAAAGCGUGGGGAGCAAACAGGAUUAGAAACCCGAGUAGUCC
This 425-nucleotide ribosomal RNA is filed under the name uncultured bacterium. Its description in RNAcentral is "partial 16S ribosomal RNA". It matches the Rfam family "Bacterial small subunit ribosomal RNA", at positions 354 to 796 of the family's 1533-position model. The record is from RNAcentral.